UGGGUAGUCCGCACGAGCGCACCUUACUUUUAGUUGCUACCAUUCAGUUGGGCACUCUAAAAGAACUGCCAGUGAUAAGCUGGAGGAAGGUGGGGAUGACGUCAAGUCCUCAUGGCCCUUAUGUGUUGGGCUACACACGUGCUACAAUGGUAUUUACAGUGGGAUGCAAAGAGGCAACUCCAAGCAAACCCUUAAAAAAUACCUCAGUUCGGAUUGUACUCUGCAACUCGAGUACAUGAAGCUGGAAUUGCUAGUAAUCGCGGAUCAGCGCGCCGCGGUGAAUACGUUCCCGGGUCUUGUACACACCGCCCGUCACACCAUGGAAGUUGGUUACACCUUAAGGCAAAGCAUAAAACCUUUGACUACGGUAUGAUCAGCGACUGGGGUGAAGUCGUAACAAGGUAGCCGUAGGGGAACCUGCGGCUGGAUCACCUCCUUUCU
Molecule: ribosomal RNA, 441 nt
Filed under: uncultured Pelagibacterales bacterium
Lineage: Bacteria; Pseudomonadati; Pseudomonadota; Alphaproteobacteria; Candidatus Pelagibacterales
Description: bacterial SSU rRNA
Rfam family: Bacterial small subunit ribosomal RNA
Source: RNAcentral